GUCCAACGUUAAUCGGGGCAGGGUGAGUCGACCCCUAAGGCGAGGCCGAAAGGCGUAGUCGAUGGGAAAUAGGUUAAUAUUCCUGUACUUGGUGUUACUGCGAAGGGGGGACGGAGAAGGCUAUGUUGGCCGGGCGACGGUUGUCCCGGUUUAAGCGUGUAGGCUGGUUUUCCAGGCAAAUCCGGAAAAUCAAGGCUGAGGCGUGAUGACGAGGCACUACGGUGCUGAAGCAACAAAUGCCCUGCUUCCAGGAAAAGCCUCUAAGCAUCAGGUAACAUCAAAUCGUACCCCAAACCGACACAGGUGGUCAGGUAGAGAAUACCAAGGCGCUUGAGAGAACUCGGGUGAAGGAACUAGGCAAAAUGGUGCCGUAACUUCGGGAGAAGGCACGCUGAUAUGUAGGUGAAGUCCCUCGCGGAUGGAGCUGAAAUCAGUCGAAGAUACCAGCUGGCUGCAACUGUUUAUUAAAAACACAGCAC
This 479-nucleotide ribosomal RNA is filed under the name Escherichia coli. RNAcentral describes it as "bacterial LSU rRNA". It matches the Rfam family "Bacterial large subunit ribosomal RNA", at positions 1357 to 1821 of the family's 2925-position model. Lineage: Bacteria; Pseudomonadati; Pseudomonadota; Gammaproteobacteria; Enterobacterales; Enterobacteriaceae. The record is from RNAcentral.